Molecule: ribosomal RNA, 493 nt
Filed under: uncultured bacterium
Lineage: Bacteria
Description: partial 16S ribosomal RNA
Rfam family: Bacterial small subunit ribosomal RNA
Source: RNAcentral
ACGAACGCUGGCGGCGUGCUUCACCCAUGCAAGUCGAACGGUGAAGCGCCUUCCUUUUUGGUGGGUGUGGAUGAGUGGCGAACGGGUGAGUAACACGUGAGUAACCUGCCCCCUUCUUCUGGAUAACCGCAUGAAAGUGUGGCUAAUACGGGAUAUUCUGGGUCUGUCGCAUGAUGGGUCUGGGAAAGAUAUUGUUUCGGUGGGGGAUGGGCUCGCGGCCUAUCAGCUUGUUGGUGGGGUGAUGGCCUACCAAGGCGGUGACGGGUAGCCGGCCUGAGAGGGUGGACGGUCACACUGGGACUGAGACACGGCCCAGACUCCUACGGGAGGCAGCAGUGGGGAAUAGUGCACAAUGGGCGCAAGCCUGAUGCAGCGACGCCGCGUGAGGGAUGGAGGCCUUCGGGUUGUGAACCUCUUUCGCCAGUGAAGCAGGCCUGCCUCGUUUGUGGGUGGGUUGACGGUAGCUGGAGAAGAAGCGCCGGCUAACUACGUG